CUCUUUUCCUUUCCGAGUAAAAG
RNAcentral lists this unclassified non-coding RNA (23 nucleotides) under Mus musculus (house mouse). RNAcentral describes it as "oocyte_clustered_small_RNA3136". The record is from RNAcentral. Lineage: Eukaryota; Metazoa; Chordata; Mammalia; Rodentia; Muridae.